UACAGAGGGGGCAAGUGUUGUUCGGAAUUACUGGGCGUAAAGGGCGCGUAGGCGGCCUUCUAAGUCGAACGUGAAAUCCCUGGGCUCAACCCAGGAACUGCGUCCGAUACUGGAAGGCUUGAAUCCGGGAGAGGGAUGCGGAAUUCCAGGUGUAGCGGUGAAAUGCGUAGAUAUCUGGAGGAACACCGGUGGCGAAGGCGGCAUCCUGGACCGGUAUUGACGCUGAGGCGCGAAAGCCAGGGGAGCAAACGGG
Molecule: ribosomal RNA, 253 nt
Filed under: uncultured bacterium
Lineage: Bacteria
Description: partial 16S ribosomal RNA
Rfam family: Bacterial small subunit ribosomal RNA
Source: RNAcentral